UGUUAUCCUAUCUGAGCUUU
Molecule: small nuclear RNA, 20 nt
Filed under: Arabidopsis thaliana (thale cress)
Lineage: Eukaryota; Viridiplantae; Streptophyta; Magnoliopsida; Brassicales; Brassicaceae
Description: snRNA_16924
Source: RNAcentral